GAAAUCUGGCUCUCGAAGUUUGGAGAGCGGUGCCUCUUCGGUUUUCGAACAAGCAAUCAUGUCGGGGAUCUGGCUAUCGAGAUUCAAAGAAUGGUGCCUCUUCGAUUUUUGAGAAAGCAAUCAUGUUGGGAGUCUGACUCUUGAGAUUAUGAGAGCAGUGUCUCUUCGAUUUUUGAGAAAGUAAUCCUGUUGGGAGUCUGGCUCUCGAGAUUUGGAGGGCGAUGCCUCUUCGAUUUUUGAGUACGCAAUCUUAUUAGGAGUAUUUUCUCGAAUAUGAGUAAAGGUUGGGCAUUUUUGCUAGUUUGCCUUGCCACGGAGCACCGAGGUUGACACACAUUAAGACUUUCUAGUUAUCAAGCAGUGGUGCUGUUCCUUUACCCUUAUGGGGAAUAGUAGGGUAGCUGGACCUUCAAAAUUUAUGUGUCUAAACUUUGUCAGAGAUCUUUGGCAAAGUUAUCUGUGGUACCCGAUGAGCUGAUGUUGCGUGUGGAAAGUGGUGCCUCUUCGAAAUCCGGAGAGUGGUGCCUCUUCGAUUUUUGAACCAACGGCCUUGUUGCCCUUUCUUUUAUAAGGGCACCAAUUUUGUGUAAGAAGUACAUUCAGAGAGUUAUUGCUUAUAGGAAUUUUCCCCUUACUUUAGAGAUUUAUUGCACCUCAUUUCUCCUUCAUCAUUUCUGAGAAUGUCUGGCCCAUCCGAUCGUCGUUUUGACUUGAACUUUGGUGAAGAGGCAGCCAUGCCUUCUCAAGACAACAUAUGACGUUCAUCCUUCUUAUCCCCUGCUGGUCCUUUUACCGUUGGGGACUCUGUAAUGAAGAAUGAUAUGACCGCUGCGGUGGUGGCCAUGAACCUUCUCACUCCCAAAGAUAACAGACUACUUUUCAAACGAUCUGAUGAAUUGGCUGUUAAGGAUUCUCUGACUCUCAAUGUUCAGUGUGCAGGUUCUGUGUCUAAUAUGGCCCAACACCUAUUUGCUCGAACCCGCCAAGUUGAAUCAUUGGCGGCUGAAGUGAUAAGUCUCAAACAGGAGAUCAGAGGGCUCAAGCAUGAGAAUAAACAGUUGCACAAGCUCGCACAUGACUAUGCUACAAACAUGAAGAGGAAGCUCGACCAGCUGCAGAAAUCUGAUGGUCAGAUUUUACUUGAUCAUCAGAGGUUUGUGAGUUUGUUCCAAAGACAUUUAUUGCCUUCGUCUUCUGGGGCUGUACCACAUAAUAAAGCUCUAAAUGAUCAACCUUCGGUGCCUCCUUAUUCUGGGGUUCUGCCUAGUACUGAGGCUCCAAAUAAUCACCCUCUGGUGCCUCAUCUUUCUGGGGCUCUGCCGACUGCUAAGACUUCUCCUGAGCAACCUUUGUGAAUGCUCCCUUUUGUUUGUUUAUUUUGAUUCAUGUAUAUGUACAUAUUUUUAACUUAUCGGAUAUAUCAAUAAACAAGCUUUGCUUCAUUUCAACGUAUUGUGUUAAAUACACCAAGGCCUUCUUCACUAAGUUUUUUGAAUUUUUCCUUUUGUUGAAUCUUGUAUGUUAAAGCUUUAUGAGUGAAGCAUGUAGGUUGAGGUAGUGCUUCCUUAAUUUCCCGAGUGAGGAAAACUUCUCGGUUUGAGACUUGAAAAAAUCCAAGUCACUGAGUGGUCGUGAGACUUCCGAGUAUCAAGGUGCAGUAGCAUAUGGUAGGAGUCCCCCAAGUCUCCGGUUGAGGGAGUUGACGAAAGAGGUGUCUUGCUAGUAGCCAAGUUUCCAAAGUAACAAAACUUCACCAUUUUCCUUUCUAAGUGGUAGCCCAAAACUCCUCCUUCAUAUAUAUUUGUUAUGAAAGUUGUUAGGCCCAAAGAAAAGAAUGCCUAGACAAUUUUUUUUUUUCAAUUUUCGAAUUUUCGAAUUUUUGAAUUAAAAUUUCCGAAUAUAUAUAUAUAUAUAUAUUUUAAGCUUUAUAGGUGAAGCUUUGUAGGUUGAAGCUUUGUUGGGUACCAUGAAUUGAUUUUGCUUCACACUAUCUUGAUCAAGAUAGUGUGAAGUUUUUGUAGGUGAAGCUUUUGUGUUGAAGCUUUGUAGGUGAAGCUUUUGUAGGUCAAGCUUUUGCGGGUGAAGCUUUUGUGGUGGGUGAAGCUUUUGUUGGUGAAGUUUUUGUGGUGGGGGAAGCUUUUGUGGUGGAUGAAGCUCUUGUGGGUAAAGCUUUUGUGGGUAAAGCUUUUAUGGGUGAAGCUUUUGUAGGUGAAGCUUUUGUGGUUGGUGAAGUUUUUGUGGGUGAAGCUUUUGUGGUGGGUGAAGCUUUUGUUGGUGAAACUUUUAUGGGUGAAGCUUUUGUAGGUGAAGUUUUUAUGGUGGGUGAAACUUUUAUGGGUGAAGCUUUUAUGGGCGAAGCUUUUGUGGGUGAAACUUUUGUAGGUGAAACUUUGGAGUUGAAGCUUUGUAGGUGAAGCUUUGGAGUUGAAACUUUGUAGGUGAAGCUUUGGAGUUGAAUCUUUUGUUGGGUACCAUGAAUUGAUUUUGCUUCACACUAUCUUGAUCAAGAUAGUGUGAAGCUUUUGAGAAUUUGUAGUUGUCCUCUAUUGAUGAAGCUUUUGUUGGUGAAGCUUUGUUGGGUACCACGAAUUGAUUUUGCUUCACACUAUCUUGAUCAAGAUAGUGUGAAGCUUUUGAGAAUUUGUAGUUGUCCUCCAUUGAUGAAGCUUUGUUGAAUUUCCUUUUUUUUUUUUUGGGAAACUAGAAAUUUGAAAAUGUGGGAGAUACAACAUAUACAAAUUUUGCUUCCACAUUGUUGAGCAAGAGAUUGUUAUGCAAGCCACACCUUAUAGUAGUCGAAGGUUUGGAUGAACCAUAUAAAUUGAAUUUGCUUCGAACAGUCUUGGAUUUGCUUCGAAGGUUUGAGAAUUGUAGUUGCCCUCCAUUGAUGAAGCUUUAGUUGGCACCAUAAAUUGGUUUUGCUUCGCACUGUCUUGAUCAAGAGUGUGUGAAGCUUUUGAGAAUUGUGGUUGCCCUCCAUUGAUAAAGCUCUUAUUGGCAUCAUAAAUUGGUUUUGCUUCACACUAUCUUGAUCAAGAGUGUGUGAAGCUUUUGAGAAUUGUGGUUAAACUUCUUUGAUGAAGCUUUUGUUAGCACUAUAAAUUGGUUUUGCUUCACACUAUCUUGAUCAAGAGUGUGUGAAGCUUUUGAGAAUUGUGGUUGCCCUUCAUUGAUGAAGCUCUUGUUGGCACUAUAAAUUGGUUUUGCUUCACACUGUCUUGAUCAAGAGUGUGUGAAGCUUUUGAGAAUAGUGGUUGAACUCCUUUGAUGAAGCUUUUGUUGGCACCAUAAAUUGGUUUUGUUUCACAAUGUCUUGAUCAAGAGUGGUGAAGCUUUUAAGAAUUGUGGUUGCCCUCCAUUGAUGAAGCUCUUGUUGGCACCAUAAUUUGGUUUUGCUUCACACUGUCUUGAUCAAGAGUGUGUAAAGCUUUUGAGAAUUAUGGUUGCCCUUCAUUGAUGAAGCUCUUGUUGGCACUAUAAAUUGGUUUUGCUUCAUACUGUAUUGAUCAAGAGUGUGUGAAGCUUUUGAGAAUUAUGGUUGAACUCCUUUGAUGAAGCUCUUGUUGGCACCAUAAAUUGGUUUUGCUUCACACUGUCUUAAUCAAGAGUGUGAAGCUUUCUACAAGUUGUAGUGUUUGCAUUGUUACAGAGGGGAAAUGUCUGAAUCAGAUGUAAAAGGGCUAAAUAGCUUGAUCUUCGUAUGCCAUACAUUGAAGUUGUUGUUGACUUGCAAUAAGACUUUGUUGGUGACUAUAACUCUUGUUGGGCAUAAGUGUUCCCCUAGUUGAGUUGUUAAGCUUGAUGGUUUUUUAUUAUUUGUGAAUGCUAGGAGUUCACAUGUACAAGUUGUACCACUCGUCUUUUGGUAGGUGGAAUGAAUAGUGAGUUGCUUUCAUCACUUGGUUGGUGGUACGAAUGUGAGUUCCUUCAUCGCAUUUCAUCACAUUUCAUCACCUGGUUGGUGGCACGAGGAUGAGUUCUUUCUUCACCUGGUUGGUGGCAUGAAUGGCAAGUUCCCAAAUGAUAUUAGAAUGCGGGUUGUACAUUUGAUCACCUGGUUGGUGGCAUGAAUGAGAGUACGGGUUGUACAUUUCAUCACCUGGUUGGUGGCAUGAAGAUGAGUUCAUUCUUCACCUGGUUGGUGGCAUGAGUGGCAAGUUGCCAAAUGAUAUUAGAAUAUUGGUUGUACAUUUCAUCACCUGGUUGGUGGCAUGAAGGAGAGUACGGGUUGUACAUUUCAUCACCUGGUUUGUGGCAUGAAGAUGAGUUCAUUCUUCACCUGGUUGGUGGCAUAAGUGGCAAGUUGCCAAAUGAUAUUAGAGUACAGGUUGUACAUUUCAUCACCUGGUUAGUGGCAUGAGGGAGAGUACGGGUUGUACAUUUCAUCACCUGGUUGGUGAGAAUAAAGGCAAGGUGUCGAGGUACAUUGUAGCAAGUGUCGAAGACACAAAGUAUGUUGAACCCUUUCGAAGCACAGUUGGCUUAUGUAUGAAUGUGUUGGAAUGUAUGAUUUUUAUGUAUGAAUGUGUUGGAAUGUAUAAUGUUUAUGUUUAUUGAUAUGAGUGAUGCUUAUGAAUAUUUUGCUAUGCAUGAAGGGAUCCAUGCUUUUGAUAUGUGAUCCAUGUUGGUUAUAACACUUAGUAUCACAUACUUUAUGUCAAAGUAUGCAUGUUGAAGCUCUGAGUUGGAGUAUAAGGGUAGGUUAGCGUAGAUCAAGUGUUCCAGUGCUAGGAACGCAAAAGACUCAGAAGAAGUUGUCUGAAUUCCCUCUUCUUUAAAUAUUUGUCGAAUGACUUGUGUGACAAAAGAUCUCAAGCAGUUGAGAGUCAAAACAUUUGUAAUGUGUAUGCCUUCUUAUAAUAGCAUUUCCUUCAGUACCUAGUCCUCCACUUUGAAAGAGUGAGGCUUGGCCCCAUAGUCAUAAUAGUCGACGGUACGUUCACCCCUGGUUGUCUUGAUACGAACUUUUAUCCCUCUUGUUGUAAUGGGCUUGCUGAGAGUAAAAAUCCUUCCUUUUACCAAGAAAAAGAUACGUUUGGUGACUUAGUGAGUAGCUAAAUGAGGCAGGAGAUGAUGCAAUGGGUGUCUGAAUGCCCAAUAUCUCCUCACUUGGUAGAACUUGACUUCCACUUCCUAUUUGUUGAUAGGGGUUAACCAUAUGGGGGUUCCCUUGGUAUGUCUUUGCUUCGGCGGAGGCGUGGUUAUAAGCCUGUGCCAUCACCUCAGAGUAAGUCUUCCAAGUGUUGGCAUUGAUCAUGUACUUGAAGAAACAAUCAUGUAGGCCUGCUGUGAAGGCCUUGAGGGCGGUCUUGUCAUCUGCCUCAAUGCAGUGAGAAUACUUAUGGCUGAAGCGACCGGCAUACUCUUGUAGUGACUCGUCCGGCUUUUAGUGAAUAAUGUACAAGUCAUCUGCAUAAUGCAAGUGAUCGGUCUGGAAGAUGUGUUAAGAGACAAACAGUUUCGUCAAUUCCUCAAAUGAGUCUACUAUCUCAGGUGGAAGACGGCAAUACCAGUUUAGAGUUCCGCCAGAGAGGGUGGAGGGGAAGAGAAUACAUCGCUCUUCGUUGGUGUGCAUCCAAUAUGCCAUGGUGGACUCAAAGAUGUUAAGGUGUUCAAUUGGGUCCUUCAUUCCAGUAUAGAGUUGUAAACCAAGCUUUUGUUUUGUCUUCACUUGAAGGGGGUGUUGAGGAUCCUUCUUGUGAGAGGGCCAGGCCUGGGUUGGUUCCAGUCAGGUAUCUCGGCCUGACGUUCGACUUUCAACUUGUUUACUUCCUCAAUAAGCUGUAGGACAAGGGGGUCAUGAAUGGAGUUAUAUACCACUAGAAUUUUCUUUCGUAAGUCUCCAUCGCCUCUUGGAAGUAGGAAAGUUUGAGCAUGCGCGUGUGGUUUUUUCUUGGACUCGCCGUACUGACUUCUAGGUCUAGUCUGUCGGAAUACCUCAAAGUCCCACGUACCUUCAUAUUCCUCUGGGACCUGUUAUUCCUUCCCUAGAUUGGCAGCUGGCCUGGGUCCUGGGAGGGGACCAAGUCUUUCAGAAACCCUUGGGUCAUUGAUAUUCGAGCAUAUGUGGAGGGGAUUAUCUCGACGUUGCUUUAGGAAGUCUGGCAGUCACGAUAAACGGCUUUCGAUCAUUCCAACCCUUCUGUAAUGAGGUGUCUUCUUCCACUUUUUCUACUUCGGGUCGAAGCAUCUGGGUUGAGAGAAGUCUCAUGCUGAUCAAUGCUUUGAUGAUUAGCUCGCUUCUCAUCAAGGAUACCCAUGUCGAAGGAAGGUGACCUUCCGUGUUAGGGGGCACCCAGAUGAUGAUUGAUGUUCACAUGGGCAACGAGCUCGCGUGUUUGAGUACGCCUAGUUUCGUGGAGCGUCUCAAAGAGCUUCUCAUACUGCUCCUGGAGGACCUCAUUCUUCAUUGUUAUCUUAUUAUUCUGAACUUCUAGCUUAUCGACUUUAGCUUGAAGAGUAACCCUUUUUCCUUCCUUCUUUGGUUACUUCGCAUUAGGUGCAAGAGGGGUGUCAUUCUGUGUGUUGUAACUUCCUUCGCUCCCUAUGUUGGAAAGGGAUGCCUGGUCAAAAGAAAGUGUACGAAUGGUGGAAACCAGCUUGGCAAAGCUGAAGAGAGUGGGAAUAAUUGUCGUUCCCACAGACGGUGCCAAAUGUUGAUGCACAAAAUCAACGAGGACUUUGGUACAACAGAAAGUGUUAAGUUUAUGACCUUCGCUAGAUUGCUCCGGUCACUAGUGUGGAUAAGUAAGUAAACGGAUAGGGACAGGGAAGCAAACACAAGAUGUACGUGGUUCACCUAGAUUGGCUACGUCCACGGAGUAAAGGAGUUCUCAUUAAUUGUGAAGGGUUUACACGAGUACAUAGGUUCAAGCUCUCUUUUAGUGAGUACUAGUGAAUGAUUUAGUACAAAUGACAUUAGGAAAUAUUGUGAGAGAAUGAUCUCUAUUUAUAGAAGAGAGUUUCUAGUUUCAUUCUGACAUUGACACAUGUCGUGUUGUGAUUGGCUUCUGAUGUUGACACGUAUCGCGCUAUGAUUGGCUUUUGAUGUCCACACGUGUCACGCUGUGAUUGGCCUCCUGGUUUGAGGGAAACUCUUCUGAGUCCUUGACGGUAUAACGUUGACCGGUGCUCAGUAGUUUCGGGAUUGGUCAAGUAUGGUACAAACAUACCUUUACUUGGAGUCCAAGUUAUAACUUAUAACUAAACCCUAAUCACACUUACAUUCCACAUCAAUCCUUAUUAACUAUAUUGACCUAUUAACCGUUGGAUUAGAGUUUAAUGUCCAACAGCGUGCGGGCACCUACCCUUCUCCGAAUGGGUGAGAACCAUUACUCCCAGAAACCCCUCGUCUGUCCACCCCCCUCCACCAAAUUUAUUGAUAAUAAAUGAAAAUAAACGAAAAAUAUACAAGCGGCAGGACUAUGCCAAGACCCACAACGACAAAAACGAUUAUAAGGACAAAAUGAAAUGUCACGAACAUGAGUAAAGACUACAAAAUCUGGAAUCGUAGACCAACUGUAAUAAGAAUAACUAUUUGCCUCAAAUGAAGCUAAACCUGAUUUCCUUCUCAAAUGUAUUUUUUUUUCAACAAAACAAAUCGCAUUUGAUGAAAUCUCCAACGGCAAUUUUUUCAAUCCAUCAUAAGAAACUACAAGACUGCAUUAGGAGCCUCAAAAGGAUAGAAAAUAACUAAUAUUUGUCUAUUUUAAUCCAUAAAUGUUUCUAAUUUCUAACCCAAGCUAUAUGCAUGGCCUCAACGAAAGCAAGAAUAUUUUUGCAACAAUUGAACAAACAAAUUUUGUUUGAUGCAAAAGCACCAAGCCCAUCUUCCGAUGAGCGAAAAAUCACCACAAAUCCUGACAACGAAAUAUUGUGAUAUGAAAAUAGAUGAGGUUCAAAAGUUUGUCAAGUUGUAUGACCACAUCAGGGGGUUUGUGACUGUGAUAACGUAGGGAUCCUUGUAGAAACAUAAAUCUUCUCAUUUAAAUAUAUAUAUAUAUAUAUAUUUUUUUUUUUAUGUGUUACAACAUUUUAAUAUGUUUGGAGAACCAAAUUUAUAAUAUGCACAGGUAUUUAAUUAUGUGAGUUUAUGAGUUGGUGGGAAGGAGAAGAGAUAGAAUACACAUAUGUGGCAUAUCUUAGUUCCGUAGGCCCGUCAAGUGAUGCAUAUGGUCCUUGUACAAACAUAUAUGUAUAUAUAUGCAGACCUUGGGGCUAGGGCAGCUAAGCACAUUUCUGAAGCACAUUGCUUUCAAACAAGAGCUCAGCAAUAGUGUGAAAUUUAUCAUGGAUAAGAACUUGAUGCUGAUAGUGGGUACGUAGCCUUGCUGUAUGUUAUUCAUUAAUAUAUAUAUAUACACACACAUAUAUAUGUGUGUAUAUGUAUGACUUUCUUUUGACUUCUUCUUCUCUUCUUCUUGUAUGUCAUUCAUUAAUACACACACACACACACAUAUAUAUAUAUAUAUAUAUGUUUAUAUGUAUGACUUUCUUUUGACUUCUUAUAUAUAUGUGUUUAUAUGUAUGACUUCUUUUGACUUCUUCUUCUGUUUUUCUUGUAUGUCAUUCAUUAAUAUAUACACAUAUAUAUGUGUGUAUAUGUAUGACUUUCUUUUGAAGUUGGGUGAAAUAUGAUAAGGCCGUAGAGUUUGGUAUUGGGUAAUAUCAUUGAACUGUGGGGACUGCUGCUAUGCCACUGAAGUUGGUGCAUGGCAAAUAGCAAACAUCUCCAUUAGGAAAACUGGUGUUUUCUUUUUUGGAAAAAUAUGAGGUAUAUUGAUUAAUUCCCUAUCUAUUAGGCCAGGUUUCUAGUAUGAAUAGGAUUAUGAUUACUUUAUUUUUUAUUUUUAGGAGGACAACAAGUGGCAAGCCACGGUUAUCCAUCUCUUUCGAGGACUGGAAAAACUCACAGAGUCAUUUCAGCCUUUUAGAUUGCUUUCCUGUUCGUUUGAAGAUUAGGUCUUAAAAAAUACAGCUCCAUAUGAAUUAAGUCUUGAUAAUAUUUAGUUUUUUUUUUUGUUGUGAUGUAGUCUUCUUGACAAGUUUUAGCAUUUUUUCUUCGUGUAUGUAUAUUCAAAUUUAUGUAAUCAAUUUCUAUUCUUUCCAUCUUGAAUUAAUUUGCUAAUAAUUCAUACACAAUACAUUGAAUCAUCUAAGUAAAUGAAGCUAAUUCGAGUAGCGAGGGAGAGCAAGUGACCCUUUAUCACGGUGGUGGAAAGAUGUUGAGUCAUUGCAUGGCGACGUGAGUUCGAACUCCGCUGGUUGCUAAUUUAAAUUCUAAUUUAAUAAAAUCUACCGUUUGACAACAAAAAAAAAAAUUAGUGAGCGAGAAAAAAAAUUGAGUUAAAACAUGAAUGUGAUCUCGACUCAGAAAAAAUCAAAAUGUUCAAAUUAGCUUCCUCCGCCAAAUUAAAUUCAUAUUUACAUAAAUAACUAUACGGUUGUGUCGUAUGUUUAUACGCAUACAAUAAUGCAUAUUUACGAUUGGCUGGUUACUUCAUUUUCUAGGGUGUACGUGCUUUGGCUUGAUAUGCAUGUCCCAAUCCUGAACGAUGCUUCUAAAAUUUUCUAAGCCACUACGGUGUCUGGAAACUUAAAAUUUUGUUUUGAAAAGUGCCUUAUUAUUUGAUAAGGAGCAAACAACCAUAUGUGCUUAAUUAAGAGGCUUGAUGAUAUCGUGCUGGCUGCCUAUAAAAUUCUCCUAAUCACACCGGCAUCAAAAUAUUUAUAUAUCUCAGUAUUCAAUCUACAUGCAAUAUCUUUUGUUCAAACAUAACCUAAAAUCUAAGGAGAAGGAAAGCACUGCAAGAGUUUUUUUUUCAUGGGUAUCGCAGCCAUACUGUCAUAUAUAUAUAUAUAUAUAUAAUUUUUUUUUUAAAUAAAUCUUUUGUGUUAUAAUAUGGUGAGAAAGACGAGUUUAUAGUGAUUGAAAGACGAGUUUAUACGUUGUAGUAUAGUAUUAUUGUUACUUAAGGCUCGUUUGAUAACUAUUUUAGAAUUUUCAUAAAAAUGAAAAUUGAAAACUAAAAUAAAGCUAUUUUGAAUACUGAAAGAAGUAGCUUUCAGUUUUUUAUUUUUCACUUUUCAAUUUUUUUUUAACUGAAACCAAAAUAGUUAUUAAACGGCCCAUAAAUAAAACAUGUAUUAUAACAUGCAUGAAUAUAAGUACUAUCACGUGACAACGUUAUACUCACAUCGAGGCCGAGAUGCCCUUGCCCUUCCUAAAAUAGGUGGAGAUUGUGUUACUCUUCAUAUUACCAAUUAAUUUUAUGAUGAAAUCUCACAUUUUUUCAUUAACAUUCAUAUUUACAAACUAGCAUGCUAAGCCAUCAAAUUAACUUUAUCCUUUUUUAAAAGAAUCGAAUUAACCUUUUUCUAUUAUUAUCAUGGCACUUAAACUUAAACUACUCAAAUCAAGUACGAUGUAUAGAAAACUAAAACUAGUUUUUUUUUUUUUUUUUUUUUUUAAGACGGAAAUGCGAAGAACUUAGUUAAAAAGGCAAAGGCAUGCAGAAAGCUAUGCCUAUAUAGAAUUAAUCUUUGCAUGAACUAAAUAAGGGAACCGGAUCCCCUCCUGAGCAUAGGGUGGGGAUCCUUCUGACUAGGCUAUCUGGGUCAUUGAAAUUUGAUACAACGAUUAUAAAUAAAGAAUCUUCUAAAAAUUAUAAUUAUUGUAACCGUUAGAUCAAAUUUCAAUAAUCCAAAUGAUCCGAUCAGAAGGAUCCCCACCCUAUGCUCAGGAGAAUAUCCGGUUCCCUAAAUAAGAAUGAUAAUACCAGCCGAAAGUAUAAAGUGAGCAGAAUAGUGGGUUACAAAUAAGUAAUAACACAGAGGGUAUAUAGUAAUAGCUAAUAAAGCGUUAACGCGGGAUCGUCUUCACUCGAGAGUGUAUGCCGUUUGAGAGGAAGAGCACAUAGAUGGCGUAGGCUAUAAUAAUCUAAAUUCAUGCGUCAAAGAGUAUUAGUAUACACCAGAUAUUCGGUGUCAUCUAUCCACAAUUCACACACACUCAGAAUUAUUAUCGGGUAAAAUCUGAUUAUUUCAGAGAUCACAAACUAAUAGUUUGUAAUAAAUCAUAUAUUUUCAUGUGAUCUUACAUUAUUUCCAACUUUCCAUCCCUCAUUCACUGGAGCCGACUGAAUAGACUCCGAUCACUAACAUCUCUUAGCUAAGAAAGCUAGGCAAUAAGAAAAUCUGUAGACCAUAACACCAUAUAUAUACAUCGCGGGACUCCUGCUGCCCUCCCCUUGAGAGAGUAGAGGUCGAACGAACCGCCUAAAGAGGUAUAGAGAUCUGAAUGCGGGCUACCUUGAAAACGAAAGUGUGAAGCCCCAACGAAAAGGCAAAUUCACCAGCCUAUACUUAAUAUGAACACUCCUUUGAGAAUUCAUCGCUAACAAUGUAGAGGGAUACAAUAACAGUAACCUCGCUACUAACCUAACGAUUAGGCGAGAUUAUGAUGCCCAAUUACCGCGAUCCCAAAACUUAUAACUCAUUAUUCAUUACACAUACUUAAAAUGGUUUACACAAUUAAUAUAAAUAGAAAGACCCCCAUUUUUAAUAUGUGAAUAUAUGGAUUAACACUUACACAAUAAUCUAAAGAUCUAAAAACAAAAAUCCCGUGGUAAUGAAUCCUUUUCCAUAAAACUAAAACGAAUAGAUUAAAUUGUGUCUUGUGGGUAAUGACAUCUUGUGUGCCAGGCAUCGCAUGUGAGAAAACGAUACUCUCGUGUGAGUAACCAAGACCACAAGAACCUCACCUCACAUGUUAAUAUUUUUAAAUUUCGUUACUCUCUCUUUACUGAUAAGAAGUUUAAAAGAUUGUCGAGUUCGUAAUAAUGAGCAAAAUAAAAAACUGAUAGAAGACAACACUCAGCGAAGGAGCUACUCAAGCAAUCCACGCAAGCGAAAGACGAAUUUUAGACGAAUAACAAACUUUGAGGCCAAACAUAUUGGAUAGACUCAGCCAUGUUCAAAGCGCAGACCCCGACAUGAGUAUCUUCUAAAUCCUCAUUUUUACAAAACAACUGCGUAUAACAACGCAUCGCAAGAAUGAAAAUUCCAUAGCUUCAAUCAACUUUUACAUGACUACUCAAAACAAAGCUUUUAAUGAAUAUACUAGCAUGGAACACACUCUUGAGAAGUAAUGGGCUUGAAGAUAUAUGUUUUUGUGUAUUGACCAAAUGUUUAUACGAGGUCAUGUCAUAGCAGUAUCAUGCAUGAAAGAAAGCAAGUAAUAAUAAUUUUAAUCUUAAGCCAAUGUUUAUCACUGAUUUUUCUUCGUCAAUACAUUAUAACUCAAAAUACUUUCGAUGAGGCGUAGGUGAACACACCAUCUCCACAUCAAGGUAAUGAGCGAUAAGGUAAAGGACAUUGUGGAGCCUGUAACUCAUUAGGUAGAAUAGAUGCAAUAUUUUGGUUUGAUGCCAUUUGCGUGGUUUAUCUCCCAGAGAAAAUAAAUAAGAUAUUUUACAGUCAUUAAUCUUACGUAUUAAAACAUAGCUUAGAACAAUUGAGUAAAAUCUCCUUUCUCAAGUGUCAUUGAUUGUCAUUAUCUAAAUUUACAAAUUAAUGCUGUUUGGAGAGAGAGGUCACAUAUGCGAAGUGCGAGCUCUCCUAUCUCUUUACAACAAAUAAUUAUUGAUGUAAGCUUCUGGUGUAUAAUUUAUAGGUCAUAAGUGUACCAAGAGGAUGGUGAAGUUUGCAGGUAUAGCUACUUUUUUUAGCCUAGGUAUCUAAAUUAUCCCGUCACACUCAGCCUCCCAAUCCUGUAACUACAAUUAUGUUUAGGUCUCGAUACACCUCAAUAUAAAUCUUAGGACAAAUAUACACUCAAAAUAGCAAAAAGAACUACACCAACUAUCUUAGAGUAAAUUCCUAAGGUCAUUUCCAAUCACGGUAAAUGACUAAAAUUGAAUAUAUAUAGUCCUUACAUCUUAGAAUUAUAGUCCUCAAAAAAAAUUUAUUAUUUGUACACAUAAGAAAGUAUUAGGUAUAAGUGUAAAUACCUUUAAGUAGACAUACUCAAAUUAUGCAGGUCUUGCGCGUGAGAGUAUAUAUCUACAUAUCUCUCACCUCUCAAUAGUCAAGUAUUCUUUCACCUUACUUAUUCGAUAUUACUUAUUAAAGAUGCCUACUUUUAAAACCGUUUUAUUAAAAAGAUUUAAGUAUUAUCGCUUUUGUUAAAAGUUCUUUUUUAGUGUUAUUAGAUAUAAUUAAAUACAUGAGCGCAAAGGAAUAAGUCGUCAACAAUUCUAUAGUCAGCAUUGUGCGAGAAUUAUCGAGACACUUAAUUAUAAUUUCAAAUGUCUCAGAAGAGCUUUUGCGCAUUGACGACCUAAAAAAAGGUGUAAACCUUUCAUUAGAGUUAAAACAUCCUAGUACUAUAAAUUGCAUAUCUGUUUUAUAUCACUUAGAUCAUAUGAAAAAACCACCACUUUCAUCUACAAUUAGAAAAAGAUCUAGAUUGAUGGUGCCACCACGGUCACAUAUACAUCUCACUUAAGUUUAAUUAAAACCUGUUAUUUAUAUUAUUUUAUUCAUAUCUUAAUUUAUAGACACCAGAACAUAUUUCCCAAAAUGGCACUUCAUUUUUCUCCUAUUCUAUGUUUUCAUAAUAAAAAAGGUUAAAAAGGGGGGGGCUAACCAUUGGUUACAUUUGACACGUCAUUGCGCUGUUUGCGCGCCGUCGGUCCUAUUAACCAAUAGCCACUAACAUCCUUGGGCCCAACUUGUAUGACUCCAAUAAUUUAGACAAUUUUUACUUUAAGGCCACAUUUAGACAGUUUUCAUUGCUUGUUGUUAUCUAUAGAUUAUAAUAUUCAUUAUUCGCGACUACAAGCUAAUAGGUCACGAGUAUUAUUGUACCUUUUGCACAUGCGCAUUUAAACAUGAUGCAAUCUAUUGUUAACUAAGGAUCAGGAAGAAAAAACUGAAAUUGAUAAAGUCAGAAUUUAUAGAGUCGGUACACAAUAGCGAGAGUCAUUCCUGGGUCGAUAUUUUAUUACACAACUAAUAAGAUAAUAUUUAAAAGACCAUAAAUGGAGAGGCACAGUGAACAAAUAAUAAGGAGAAUCCCAUUUGUGGUAAUUAUGGUACGAGCACCUCCAAUUCCAAGUUUUUCACACUAUUAACAUGAACAAUUGAUAUUAAAUCUAUAUUCAGUUAUAUACCCAAUUCAUCGUACUGAGUAUUGAGAACUUCAUACUUUUAGGAAAAAAUUUCACACAAAUCUCACACACCUUCUAAUUUCAUUUCUUCCUUACUGUAGAGUCUCCACCUCCAAUUAAAUACAAUAUACAUCACAAUAAUUUCCGCGAGAGCAAUAUAAUAAAGAUAGCUUGACACCCUCUCGCACAUACUCAAUUUUUCCCUAUAAUAUCGUGAUAACGUUUUGAGUAAUUUCACUUUAGUAAUCUAAAUUUUCUAUCACACACAAAUCUAAUAAAGAAGGGUGGGGUUGGAUCACUACUCCAUCGUUGGCGAAUUAGAAAAACGUCCUAUAAACUCACCAUCCAAGUCUUUCAAUACUGCCUGGAUUUCGCAUUCCGCUUUUCAUAAACCACACUUACAAACAAAUUUAAACUUCUAUUUAAUAAUAACAAAUAACAACAGAGAAAGCCAUACAUAUUAAAAGAGAGAGAAGCAAAGCUCAAAAAGACAAUAAGUAGACCAAACCUGAAAGAUAGGGAAGAGAACUGUUUAUUGCAUUCUACUAGUAUCCAACCCCAGAUAUACAUAUAUAUCCCUGCGAUAAAUAACAAAGUGGAGAUGUCACCGCUCUAGUAUUUGAUAGUAACUGCCUGAGUGAUAAUUAGAGAAAAUCAAGAGAGAAUAGUGCGAUAGAUGCUGAUAAAGUUAGUAGCAAAAAUAAUAUGAUUUAAAUUAAGGGAUAAAAGACAAAGAAGGUGCGAAAUCACAGCGGAGAUCAGACCCAUCUACGAAUAUCUCUCAAAUUAGAGUCACCAUCUUUUUUUAUGCUAUGUAAAUAUCACUCUAUCACUGCUAUCUCUCUUAGUAUAAUGAUCCCACUCACUAGCUGUCUCUAUCCUACUCAAUCUACAUGAAGCGGGAACAAAGAUCCAGCAGAACACAUAUAUAAACGACAAAUAACCACCAGUUCACCCAUUGAUAUGUAAAAUCAUAGUGUAAAAUCUUCGAUACUCCUCACUAAAUAAGUUAUGGCAGUAAACAAGGAAAUACUAGUUAGCAAAAUCGUAAAAGUUACAAUCCAUAAUUAUCCAUUGGAAAAUCAAGACCCAUCGCGUGUCUAAAUCAAAUUUAGCCCUCUAUACUGUUUAAACCCUCUCUACUAAAAGUAAAUAACUGCAAAUCCGAGAAGCUGUUACAGACUGCUACAUGAGAUUCUAAUUGUGAUUUUAAUCCUAUUUUUAGGUCAUUAAUAAUUGUUCCUGGAUACACAUUGACACCAAAUAAGAAUAUCAUUAUGGGACUGAGAGCACACAAAAACCUAUGAUUCAUUACGAGUGUCAAUAUGUAAUAUUAAUUAUGUUUGUUAAGUUUGUUACUUAAAGUACUUAAACGAUUUUAUUCAUAAAAUCAAUCUAAUACAUCGAAGAGAAAUAAGUGGGAGCAACUGCCAGAAAAAGGUGAGGAAAAAGGAAAGACAUAAAGUAAUGACUAUAAAAGCACUAACAAUGGAAAAUCUAUACGAUAACUAUGGAAGAACUGUAAAUUUAAGUAAUAGUUAAGAGUAUAGCAACAUCAGAAGAUGAAAAGUAAUAAUAAUAUAGGUGAGGGUAAUGGGUAAAAUGAUUAAAGAUUAUUUAUAAAUUGAAAUAAUUAAUAUGUAAUUAUGUGUGACAACUUAAUAGGAUCACAUUAGAGUUGGUAAGUGCCUUGUAACCCAAAGGUUUGAAUGAAAAUAACAUCAAAUCUAGUGAGAUGAAAGGUUUUAGAGCUCAUAUGCUGAUAAAUUAUACAUUUACUGGGCUUCUAACACGUUUUUUUGAGAUAUAGCACAAUAAUUGCAAGUAUAUUUAGGAGUAAGUUGUAAGAUAUGUAACUAUAUCCAGGUGAGACCUGUAGGUAAUUGGAAGAAUAUAGGGUGUUGUAUCAAGAGACAAUGUUUUAACUAAUAUCCAACAUUAGUAAUAGAAGAGGAAAAUCUUUGUAAGUGUGAUCCCAAUCUCUCUAUCAAAGAUAAGUUGGGUGCGGGAUUGGUGCCCUGUGGGCUGCCUUAAUGCUCAUAUAUUUAAAUAGGUGAGAACCCCAUAUAUCAAACUGGUUCCAAUAUCCAUACGAUCUUUUGAGACGAGAAGCCAAAUUGAUAACACAUCGAUGCAUCAGCUAUUAAGUAAACAAGAGAAAGACACACUACAGAUGGCCUGAGUACCUCCAUCACAGUGAGUGAUUCGAAUUAAUAUUGAGAUACUUAAUAGAGAGUAUUUGAUGUGAAGUGCUUUUCAGAAUCCUUAUGAAAUAUUUGUCCUACAAAUGUCUUAAAGAUGUUGAGUGAUUAAAAUAGAUACCUUUAGGAUAUGAGACUCUAACAAUGUGAAUAAUAGGAGAGGGAUUUAAAUUGAGCUAUUGAGCUUAUAAUUAAAUUGAAACUACUCUUCUCCUAUUCUAUUUAACGCAAUGAGUAUGUUCUAUAAUGAUCACGAAUCUUUAUAGUUUCUUUCUAAAAGUUCAUUGUAAUAUUUGAUAUUUAUAUGUACGACUUUUUUUCUGUCUAUGCGUAACAUAUCAGCCGAAGGGUGACCUGGGCUACUGCAAUCAAAAGCACAGAAGUAAGGUAUAGCAAAAUCGAUAUUUUUGGAGUGUACUCGGUUGUACAGCGGUUAAACAAGGUAAACAGAAAGAGCUCCAUAUAAAAUUAAUCUAUUAUGUCGACUUCUACUGCGGCAACUAGUGAAAAAUUUGACGAGUGUGUAUUGAAUAAACAGAUAUAAAUGCCUAACAGAUAGAGAAACAGAAAACAUUUAUUGUGAAUAGUUGUAAAUAUGAACAGGAAAAAGCCAAAAGCUUAAAAAUAGUAAUCUUAUAUCCUUUAUGCCAACCUAUUUAAAUCUUAGUGCACAUGAAUCCAGGGGCUUAAUUGAAACUUCCAACACUGCACGUUUUAUAUUCAUUUUAUAAGCGAUACUUUGGAUAUGAGCAAAUAAUCUCUAAAUUUAUUCAAGUGAAAGGGAAUAUUCUCUAGAUGUGAGAGAAAACUUUCUUGCAAGGCAGUGCAUUUUGAGUUGUUUAUACUUGUAGAUCGUCAAAUCCACUAUAACAUUUCAAUUGUUACAUACAUUAUCCUGUAUCCUCUAUAAUGUGUGCAGGCAAUAAAAUAUUAUGUCUUUGUAAAUAUAUAAUCAAAUUAUUGAUAACGUUAUUUAUAUUAUAGAGAUAUCACUUAAAUAAAACUAUAAUUUAUGGGAAUAAAAAAAUCUAAAAAUGAAUAUAAAUCUCUCCAAUAAUUAAAUAACUGUCAUAAAUUAAUCACACAACAUAUCACAUGACUUUUUAAUUCAAUAACCCAACUAAAAUAUCAAAACACACGAGUACCCUUGAGACCCAGAUAGAUUCCAAACAUAGACUAUUUGAGAAGCGACGGUCUGUGCUGGCCGCGUAUGAUUAUAUACACCUGAGAAUGAGGUGAGGCGGACAGCAGUAAAUAUGAUGAUGUCGAGAAACCAAUGUGAAGUUUGAUAUCAUUAUAUUAUAAAAAUAAACAAUCUAUAUCGUUAGUAUAGCUAGAAUGACUAUCACGAAAUACGACGCGGAUGGCAUGAGAACACGAGGCUUAAUUGUACAUGAUAUCCGCAUGAAUUCGGACACAGUGACAUUAAAAGGUAAUAAAGAUAAACAAGCUAUUAAUGAUCAGUAGAAGUUUAUAUUAAAGAGAGUGAAGGUAUAUAAGAAUUUCUAUUUAAUGAAGACAUAAAAAUAGUUUAAGAUAAAUAAGGAAGAUCUAAAAAAGACAACCUUCUCUCUGCUCUUUUCUUUACGGGUUAUUGUAUUAAUUUAUUACCAAUUCUGGCAUCAGAAAAAAAUUUACAAAAAAAAAUAAGAAUAAAGCUGAAAAAUGACACGGAAUCCUGUCAGGACAGAUAAAUAGAAAAACGUACAGCAUCUAAAAAAUCCAGGAUGUUGAUACAACUUAAAAGAUAAGAGACUGAUAGGGUCCUUCUGCGAGAAAAUACACAAUAUUUCUAUAUAUGAAACCCGAUAAAAAUAAAUGCAUGGUGAGAUCAACCACCCAGCGUGACACAAUUGAAACUUACACAAAUACAAUAUAACCAGAAAAUAUCAGGAGGACUUAAUAAUAUAACAAGGCAAACACACAACAGCAUCAUCAUAGCAUAUCAAAUAAUCAUUGAGUAAUCUUGAAUACAUAAUAAUACAUAUAUACCAGCUUACACGCAAAUCGGAGAACUAACACCUAUAGUGACCUGUAGCGCUGUCAAUCUCACAAGAUAUUUGUCAAAUUCAAAAUUCGAGAAUGUCACACUCAUAACCGAAGAGUCUACCUAAAGAGAGAUUCUGUAAGCGAAGAAACAUGAUUCGCUUCAAUAAUCUAUACAAUAGCAACACAAUAUUAUGCCCAUUCAUCCAAAUGCAAAAUUCUAGGCGGACAUAAUGGCUCAUCUACAGUGUAUGACAAGAGCUCAUUCAACAAUUCUCAUUCAACAUAAGGAUAAUAAGCUAAUCAUCGAACAAUAUGCAGCAAUCAAUGCACAUAAUCUCAUAUCAUCAUGGAAAUGCUAAACUUCAUCUUAUUAUAUAUUAAUGUACAUAACACAUAUGGCACAGACAAUAAAAGUCACAUAUAAAUUUUUAUCACGGUUAUGCUGAAAUAGCGUUAUACACCAUAUUUAUCACGUAUGCUAGCCAUUACAUAUUUAAUAUCAACGUAUGCUAGCUCAUCACAAUUCAUCACAUAUGCUAACUCAUCCACAUAUCUCAUCAACCUAUGCUAGCUCAUCACCAUAUUUCAUCAUAUAAAGAACUAUAGAUCAUUAAGGUGGAUAGAAAAAGUUUUAUCCUCUACACUUCGGUUAACAGUGAACAGUGUACACGACCUAUCCGAUAGCUCAAUAAGUAUACUGCACAGUGGAGUGCGAGAACCACACUCUCGAAAGUGGUUCUUACUGUUAACAUAGACUUAGGGUGAAAUAACGCUUACAAAUCAAGUACUCAAGAGAGCCUAAAACGUUCUGAAAGACUAAAGCGCGACUGAGGUUCAACUAAUAAGUCAUUUCGGAUAGCUGAUGCUCCGAGAGACGCAGGACUAAAUAGGAAGAUUCUGUCCACCCAACACCGAGCUUGGGUGCAUCCAACCACUGCCUUAAGAACCAAGCGCGCAAGUCACGUUAUUCGUAGUCCGGGUGGUGAGCGAGACUUUUAUAACAUUUAACUUUAAACGUGAUAUGAAGAACAUGAGCCAACAUGAGGCCACCGGUGCAAUGGAAGACCUCAUCAUCACAUCUCCUACUAGCAAUCGUGGUGUGUCUAUGUGAUUUGAAUUAGAGGAGGACUUGCACUAGAAAAUCACACCAUCUAUUUCAUACGAAUAACACUAUGUAGCUGGACUCAUAGGGAAAUCCAAAUCCGGGCAACGAACCGAGUCGCCGUGAAAUUGCUUAAAAUAAUAUCCAACCAAUGUACACUCGUUCUCAUUACACAAAUCUGAAAUACGUCACAAAAGGGGAUCUCUCCAAACACAAAGCAGUAAAUACAGUAUAUUGAGUGCAAUGCGACCAUUCUCACACCUAUACAUUAGAGCGGUCACCCCUGAACUAGUAUCUAUGAAUCACGAACGUUCGCGACAGCUGCCUGAAUAUUUAGUAACCAAUCUUGCGUAUCUUAAAAAGCAUUCAAUACAUAUAUUAAUGCGCAAAUAAUAUAAACUUAUGGCACAUAAAUGACGUCUGAAAGCACCAUGUUUACAAUAGAACUUGAAGCAAAACGGAGAGAAAUAGUGAUCACAAAUAAACAUAAAUAGUUAGGUAGGUUAUGUUGGUAUAUGUGAAAUCUAUUCUCACUUUAUUCCAACGGCUACGAAACAUAAUAUCACAAAUUAAAGCAUGGAGCUAUAAAAAUGCACUAAUAUAUAAUGCGAUCUAAUUAUAACUCUCCCAAAGAACUAUAAUAUUUCGACGUCGGAAUAAUAACUACACGAGAUUAUCCCAAUGACAACAUCAAUACAAAAAAGUUUAAUUACCCGAAAUAUAACUACAUUAACUCUAUAGCAAUUCUUUCUAUCCAGAAAUAACUAACAGAGAAAUUCCUACUACAAACAUCAACUGAAUUAUGACCCACCCCCCCCCCAGAGCGAGGAUCCGGACCCACAAUCCUGUUGUACAAUCGAUAAGAAGCGGUUAUUAAUAUCUGCGACAUAAAUUUCAAUCAUAAAUGUUCUCAUCAUAACUUGAUCAAUUUCCCAUAAAACAAUAGCUUGCAUAUGUCUUCUAAUUAAAUAUCACCAUUUCUCAUGGUUUUAUGGUAUAUGGAACCGACUAUAGAAUCUAACGUUUCGUUAGAUUGCCUACGUACCCCUAACAAAGGAUCAAGGGAAACCAUUUGACCUAUUUCGCACUUAGUUACAAUCACAAAAAGCAUUUGACAACACUAAUAAUUAUAAUGCAAUAACCAAGUAAAUAUAAUAAUCACAUAGAAUUGAGUUAGGAAAUUAUAAAAUCAUUAUAUAUAUAUAUAUAUACAACACACACAUGAUAUGUAACCAGUGAGAAAGAAACAAUCAACUAACCACCUGAUGGAACUCAAUACUUAGAGCAUAAUCAGUACACCCACUACCUACCACUGUCACAUAAACCACUAAUCACUGACAACAUCGUUCGACUCUCUGUGGUCCACCUGUCCCAAAAUUCUGGCGAGAGAUAAAAACAACACACCCAAUCAAACUAGGCAACCUUUGAAACACCCGCACGACAACCCUACGAAAAUGAUAAUAUUGUACCUCAAUAAAUCCGACUAUGAAAGCUCCAUUCAAUGAUUGGGCAUUGUUCUCUGCCUAAAAGGGAGUCUAUUGGUGGUGGCAAUUGGAAGAAAUCAUUUCCCAAUUGAUGAAUUUUGGGCAAGGUCUCCCCCAUCACCCAUCACUAUUUUUGUACCAAAAUACUAUCAAAUUCCCUCUAAUUUUUGGUGGAACAAGAAGAGAAAGGGCCAAGGUGAUGAUUGGGAGCAGUUUAUAGGUCCAAUUUGUCGGAAAAUUGGACGAGAAACGGCGAGGAGCCGCCGGUUUAAGGAAACAGGUUAAGGAAGACCCGUUUGGGUUCCCUCCUUUUCUUCUUCUCUCCUUUCCUCCUGCUCUCCUUCCCUUUGGUCCUCCUUUCUCCUCCCUAUUUCCUCGAUUGGUCUCCCCUUUUUCUUCCAUUUUCUCCACUCAUUUGUUGCCCUCAGGCAGCCCCUCCUUCCUCCCUUUUUCUGCCACACACACACCCAUACACCAUGCAUAUAUUUCACUUUGCAUUAAUAAUAAUAAAAACAUAGUGUAAAAAUAAUUAAAAUAAUAUUUCAUUCCAAAUACCUUUGGGUUCGUAGCUCAAUAAAACUUUAACUGUAACUCCAAAAUCACUUCUACAUGUGCCUACCCAUCCUUAAGAUCGAGCUCUAUCCGAAUAUGUCAAGAAGAUGAGUCUCGCAUGACACGACGCGGUAGUCAACACAAGUCAACACUUUGCCUCGAAAGGCAUCUUCAUAAACUCACGUAUUAAAAUUAUAAAAUCAUCAUUUUUAGGGACGGGCUGUUACACACACACACACAUGGGUACGUUCAUCAAAACCAACCAAAAAAUUAUUGUACCAAAACAUAGGUACAUUUAAAAAAAAAAAAGAUAUUAGACUUAAUAACAUUAUUAAAUUUCUUCUAUUAAACUUGACAUGGAUAUAUCCUCAAAUAAAUAGAAUGUACCCAUAUAAGUAUAAAAAAAAUGGAUUAGAGAAAAGAUUGAAUGGAUUUUAUAUAAAAAAAAUAGGUACAUUUUAUAUUAAAAAAAGAGUACAUUUUUCACAUGACAAAUUGAUAUAUUUAAGAAUGGGUACAUAUAUGAUUCAAAAAUUGAAAUUUUUUUAUAAAAAUUUAAUAGGUACAAACUUAUUCUAAUUUUAUUUUUUAUAUUUUGGAAAUGUUUGAAUUGAAAAUUAAUUAGGAGUUUAAUAAGGGUGUGAGUAUUAAAACUCUAAAUUAAUUACUAAUUUUUAUUAUAAAAAUUAUGUAACUUACAUGUAAUUCAUUAAUAUAUUAAUGUCAAAGAUUUUAAUCAAAAUCUAAAAAAUGAUAAGGUCUUAGUCAAUGAAUAUUAGAAAAUAGGGACCGGAUACUAAUUUUUCCAUUUUAUAAUUCCACUAUAUUUAUUUAUUUUUUAUUGAAAAAGAGAUCAGUUGGUGACUUUGUCAUGGCAGUUCACCCUUUCGGCGAUCGGAAAAACUCACAUAGCCAUUUCAGCUUUCCACUAACCACCAUCGUGCGAUUUACUAGCCUCAUAAACCAACCAGAAUGUGUGGGAAUGUAUGCUUGAAAUUCAUUCUAACCACUAGACCACCCCGUAAUGGUUAUUCCAUUAUAUUGAAACAUAGCUCUUUGUUUGAUUUAUUAACCUGGAAAGCCAACAUGUCCAUGCAUAUAUUACAUUAUCAUAUCAGUUAUAUUUUGAUACUAAAGACCUAUUAGAUUUAAAUCAUUUUGGACAUAAUCAGGCUAUUCAACAAGUAGCUUCAUCUAUUUAUUUUUUUUCACUUUUGAUGAAAAAAAAAAAGGUUGAGAUUUAGUUCAAUUUGAACUAGUUUAUUUUGUUGAGAAUGAAUUUCACGUAUAUGAAAUGAGAGAUUUUGCAUGUGUUUAUAACAGAUUGGACUACUCCCUAUAUUUCCAAUUGUUUUUAUGGUGGAACCCAAUUUUUUUCAUGGUAUCAGAGCCAGGUCAUCUCACGUGUGAAGUCUCACGGCCACACGCAUUACACAUUACCCAAGUUGUGUUGUCCACGUAUUAUAAGAGAUUUGAACACUCCUCAUAUUAAUAAGUAAUUUUAUAAUAGAACUUCAACUUUUUCACAUUUAUAAAAUAAAAAUUCCAGGAAAGAAUUUCCGCAACAAAUAUAUAUAUAUUCUACCUUGAUGAUUGCAAACUCCCAAUUUAAUACGUUCAAAUAAGAGCUUUUUAAACGCUUUUUGAACACAAUAACACUUUAUAUUCCAUCAAAUAUCAUUGCGCAACAAGAGAUGUAUCUAUUUGAUAGAGACCUAUUUUGAUAUGAUAAGAAAAAUAAAUACAUGAAUAUAUUCAUAUGAAAACAUCAAUCCCAGAGAUUUUAUUAAUUAUGAAUAUAAUUCUUCCACUCCCUCCAUGGAACAACUUUGUAGAAGAGACAGAAUCAGUGUGGGUCACGUCCUCCACUCCCUUCAAUAACCUUGGCCUUUUACACUCCCAAAACCCUACAUAUAAAGCUCAACGUUUUGAUUAGACAGUUGUGGGGAUGCAAUUAACUUUCAUUUCCUUUAUUAAAUUAAAUUAGCUAGUAUCCCACUAAUUUCAAAAUGCUUAUAUAUACCACUUCAAGCAUGAGAUGUGCCAACAGUGGAUAUAAUUUUAGGGUAAAUUACAUAGUAACCCCUCAGGUUUGAGGUCUAUUACAACCUCAUACAAUAUCUUUAAAACAUUUCACUUUCAUACCUCACGUACUGUUUUAUUUCAAAACAAUACCUCUGUUGCAUUUUUCAUCCAUUGAUCCGUUAAGUGCUGACGUGGCUGCCAAAUGUAUGCCACGUGGCAAAAAAAAAUUCUAAUAUUUUUUUUUAACACUAAAUUUUCUUAAAAAAAAAGGAACAAAAGCUGAAACAAAUGCCUGCAACCCCCCAAACCCAAGAAGAAAAAAACCACCCCACCUCCCUACCAAUUAUUCCCCCCACCCUCCCCUCCCCUUCCCCCCUCCUGCUAUCAUGACUGACCCCCACCCUCCCCCUCCUCCCGUGGCUAACCUCACCAAUUAUUCCCCCCACACUAAGAAACCCACAUCUCUCCCUCUCCACCCACCCUCUUCCCUCAUCUACACACUCCACUCCUUAAAUCCAACACUCAUUCCUCUCAUCUUCACUUCAUGAACCCGGUGUAAACGAGAUCUGAGUUUUUUUUUUGUUUUUCUCUGGGUUGCAGGUGGGGGGUCGGGGGAAGAAGAUGAAGAUGGGGGAGAAGAGAGGGGAGGAGGAGGGGGAAAGACGAACUGAAGAGGUUUUUUAUUUUUUUAUUUUUUGGGUUGCAAGGGGAAGAAAAUGAAGAUGGGGGAAAAGACAAGAGGAGGAGGAGGAGGAGGGGUGGGUAAGACGAACUGAAGGACUUUUUUUUUUCUUUAUGGGUUGCAGGGGGAAGAAGAUGAAGAUGGGGAAGAAAAGAUGAGAUGAGGAGAAGGGGGCAUAAGGUUUAUGGGUUUGGGGGUUGCGGGGAGAAGAGAGGAGGAAGAGGGGGAUAAGGUUUCAGCUUUUGUUUUUGGUUUUUUUUUUUUUUUAAUUUAGAAGAUUCAGGUUUUUUUUUUAAAUUAAAAAAAAAAUUUGCCACAUGGCACAGAUUUGGCAGCCACGUCAACGCUUAACAAAUCAAUAGAUGGAAAAUGUAACAAAUGUAUUAUUUUGAAAUAAAACAAUAGUGAGGUAUUAAAGUGAAAUGUUUUAAAGAUGUUGUAUGAAGUUGUAAUAUAUCUCAAACCUGAGGGGUUACUAUGUAAUUUAUCCAUAAUUUUAAGAAAUUAAUUUGGAUCCUCAAUAGGUGAGGAGUUCCUCCUUAAUGCUUCGUUAUUGAUAUACGAAAUUUGGUACUUAUGAUCAUAAUCAUUUAUAUUAUAAAUCACAUUAAAAAUACCAUAUAUGCAAAAAAAAAAAAAAAAUUAAAAAAAUGAGAUCGUUGGGUCAUUGAACUGUGUAAAAAUAAUGGUCAGAUGGUAUAAAAAAGCAUUAUGAACCGUUUAUCUAUUUACUACAUUUGAUUUUUUGCAUAAAUGAUCUUUAAUUACAUAGUAAUUUAUAAUAUGAAUGGUUGUAUUUAUAAAUACAAAAUUUUGUAAAUCAGUAACAAAGCAUCUUAAAGAUUCCUACUUAAUUUUAAAGGACAUUUUGGAUGCAGUCUCUAACUACUAAUGUUCUUUGACUCAAACCUUGGUAGUUUUUAAUUUUUUAUCGAAGUUCCUGACAUUAAUGUAAUAGUGUAUUUCUAUGUAGGUUAUUAUAUUUUUAAAUUAAAAAUAAAAUUUUUAGUUAUUUAUAUUAAUGAGAUUUUAAAUAAAACCCAUAAUUUAUGAGAUUAAAAAUAUUAAAGAUGAAUUAUGCUCUCCAAUAUUUUGUGUGUGUGUGUGUGGGUACAUUCAUUAAAAUGAACCAAAAAAUUAUUGUACUAAAGCAUGGGUACAUUUUGCAAAGGCACAAAAAAAUAUAUAUAUUAGACUUAAUAACAUUAUUAAAUAUAUUUUGUUAAACUUGACAUGGAUACAUUCUCAAAUCAACGAAAUAGAAUGUACCCAUAUAAGUUUAAAAAAUGGAUUAGAGAAAAUAUUGAAUGAAAUUUUAUAUAUAGAAUGGGUACAUUUUUUACAAAUUGGUAUAUUUAAGAAUGGAUACAUAUAAGAUUAAAAAAUUUAAUGGUUACAAACUUAUUCUAUUUUUUUAUAUUUGGGAAUGGUUGAAUUGAAAAUUAAUUAGGAGCUUAAUAAGGGUGUGAGUAUUAAAACUCUAAAUCAAUUACUAAUUUUUUUUUAUAAAAAUUAUGUAACUUACAUGUAUUAAUAUAUGAAUACUAGAGAAUUUGAUCAAAAUUUAAAAACUGAUAAGAUCUUAAUCAAUGAAUAUUAGAAACUAAAAACAAGAAACUAAUUUUUCCUAUUUUUAAGGAGCCAAGCUUUCCUCUAAUUUCAAAAGGGUAUGCAACUAUAUAGGGGAUUAUCUGAAAGAUGCUUAUUCCCUAGAAAACAACUAGCUAGCUGAUAGCUCUGAGAUGAUACUAAACCAAUCAUUUAAUGUACAUGAAUGAUUUGCAAUAACCUCACUAAUAAAACAGAUAUUAUAUAAAAUGUAACAUCAAAUAAUUUGGAUGGAAUUGGAACUAAUGAUCUAGUAUAAUUAGCUUAUGCACAAAAUUAUAUAGUACUACUGUUCUGUAUUGUUUUUUCCUCAUCUCUUUUUCUGUGUGAUUAGAUUCGUUUUCUUUUGUAGUGACCAAAAUAUCAAGUGCUACAGUAGCCAGGAGCAUUUAAACUUUUUUUCUCCAUAGGGUUACUGUGCCUCUGGGAUGCAUAUCAUAUGACAUUUGUUUGUGUGAAAGAACCUUUGAGUGGUCAAUUAUAUAUGCGGUUUUGAAUAUGAAGGUUUAAUUUUUAUAUGCUUUCACUCGAAUCAAAUGAAAUAAUGCUUUGGCUACGUAACUUCUAUAAUUUUCUCAAUUUAAACAAACUGAAUUUUUAAAUGACGUUAAGUGUACUGCAUCGGCCUCUAACAAAAACAUUAUAAGCACAUAGAGCAAAGGUUAUUGGUGGAGUCGAGUUAUGCUCAACCUAUACAUAGAUAAGCUUGUUGUGUGUAUGUUAAGACAACACUAAUUAAGGCUAAUGACUAUUUAGCCCAAUAAGAUUCUCUUAACAUGCAAAACUUGUCAAAACUCUUCAUUAAGAAAACGAAAAAGAAAAGGAAAAGAAACCUUGCGAUCGAGGAAUUGCCACCAUUCUUUAAAACCAAUCUCUUUUGAGUUCAAACAAAAUAAAAUGUCACUAAUGAUCUAACCUUCCAUUUUGGCACAAUGUUCUUGUCAUUUACUAUUUAUGAAAAGUAGAAAAGAGAAAUAAAAAUUAAGAUCACCAAAUCUUAAUUACUAUUACUAAUAGCCUAGGGGAAUCACCUUUCUACAACAAUGGCUUCUUUUCAAUUUCUUAGUACAAGAAUUGCUUUCAUGACAUGCUCAAGCUGUCCACAUUGAUUAGGAUUCAAAUUAACAUCAUCACAAUUAUCUCCACAACAUUUCCUCAAGAGAACAAUUGCACAAUAUGCAAACCGCCCCACCAAUGUUUUGCUUUGACAAACAACAAAAACCCCACAAGGGAUUUGACUAAUUUCAGGAGUCUUAACCAAAGAAAAAACCAAAAACUCUUCUAAUUAGUGGAUGACACACCCCACCAAAGUUUUACUUGCUAAUUAUUCAACAAGAAUGCCUUAAUAAAGGCUAUAAUAAAAGGCACAUUAGUGGGGAAAGGAGGCUCUUAUCAAAACACCUGAAAAUUGCUUGUUUGCCAAGAUGUGAGAAAGUAAAAAAAAAAAAAAAAAAGAAAAGGAAGAUAGUAGUGCGCUAGCCCACCGUAUAGGCUGUAGGACUUGAAGUUUGUUAUUUAAAGUAAAAAGGAAGUCACAAAUUAAAAAGGGAAGCCGACAUAAGUUUUACAAAACUAAACCAUGACUUGGAAUGACGAGAUCAAGUAUUUUGUACUUAUUUUGUGUGUGGUAUCUAUCAUUAAUUGACACGUGAUUAAUUUAUAAUAAUAAAAUUAAGGAGUGUUAAAUUUAUUAACACGUAUCAGCCAAUAAUAAAGAUCACAGAGAGACCACGUACAAAAUAAGUGCAGAAGAUUUGAAUUGUGUAAUUUCAUCCAAUGUUUUCAUGUAUGAUUCAUAACAUCUUUCAGAUUGAAUUGUUCUAUUUUAUUUAGCGAAGUUUUGGUAGUUGGGAUUAAGGUUUUGUCGAGAUUAUAGCAAAUAUUUUGCUUUCUAAUGACCACAAAGACAACAAGCCCAUAAAUUUAAUGAGUACCUAAUCUAGGGUAUAUUACUUGAUUGGCCCAAAUAUAUAUUGGAUACCAAGUUCCUACAUAUGCUUAAGGCUCAAACCAUGACUCUGGCAAAAAUUGAGGUAGUGGAUUCACGUAUGUUUAUAUUCAUCCAAAGCCCAUAACAUGAGAUUGAGAAUUCUUUUGUUCAUUUUGGAAAUAUCAAGAAACCCAACAAUUUUCUUUUGACAAAUAACAACCAGUCUUUAUUUUUUUUUGUAACUUCAAAAAGCCAAUGUUGCUAGGAAAUUUGGAAAAGAGUAAUGCUUGGGACACUAAUUUUUUUAAACCAAAUGAUGUGUCACUAAUAAGAAACAAGCACAUUAAUCGACACUUGGUUAAUAAUUUAAUCAUCUCCAACCACAUCAUUUAGUUUGCAAAUUUGAUUUAAAAAAUUUGGUCUCCCUAACAUUAUUCUUUGGGAAAAUGUAGUUUUUAGGGGCUCAAAACACUUUUGUCCUCCAUUUUAAUUUUUCUAGAAUUGUCAAGUUUUACGCUGGAACAACUUAACUAACCCUAUGACAAUUCUAGAAAAAUGGAAACCAAGAAAAUAGUUUAAUAUUUGAAUCACAUUAUUGCUAACUCAUUGCGAGGCUUAGCCCAUCCCUUCCUCUUUAGUGUAGAUAAUAUCGUUUGUUUACAACAUGCAAAUAUAAAACUUGGGAGAGUCUCGAGUUUUUUCUUCUUCUAAAUUUCUCAAUUUUACUCGGCGCAAGGUGAAUUAGGUUCGUUCCCUUGGAGUAGAGGAACAUAAAAUAUAGAUACCUAUAUCAAGAAGAAAAAUAUUAUUAGCAUUUUAGCAAGGUUGUCUCUGAGAUUUUAGAAGCUUUGUGCGGAAUUUAUAAAAGGGCCCCUUUAAGAUAGUUUUUUUUUAAUUUUAUUUAUUUUUUAUUUAUUUUUGAAAGUAAGAUAAUGUAUUGAUGCUAGAAAGCAAUAACUUAAAUUAAAACAAACUUUAGGACUCACUAAUUGUAAGUUUACAAACGUCAUUAAAUAAUAAGUAAAAAGAGUUACAAAUAUACCUUUACUAAAUAAUCAAAAGUAGUCAAAUCUUAAACAACCAAACAAGAAAUAAAACUUCAAAAACUCUAACUUUGAAGUUUCACUUGAAUAUAUAGCAUUUAUAAUAUAAUAAAAUUGAAAAGAAAAAAAGCGUUUUAUAGGGUGUUAUACUGCACUCCAAAUUUUAUAAUUAAAAAAAAACAAUUUACAUUUAUAAAGAAUGUACAAUGAGAUUUUAAAAUGCUAAUGAAAAUAAAUUUUUUAAUAUAUAGCAUUAUUACAUAUAAAUAUUAAAUGAUAAUUUUUUUUGGAAGCCCUUCAAAUUUAAGAGUCCAUAUUUUCUGCACCCAAAUCCCUAUGACUCCUCCGUGACCCAUUUAAAUAUGCAACAUGUGUUCAGGCACUCACUAAUAUUAACUCUGUUAAUAUUUCAGUUAGCAUUAACCCCUGUUAUCUGCUAAAAUUAUCAAUCUCCCUCUGUAAGUAAUUUGUUCUUAUUUUAUACGUGAAUGGAUUGACAUAGAUGCAGCUUUUGUUUAUGGUUUUAUUUUUUUUCACGGCCUUUGCCCAGAUUUUGGUCUUGAUUAAACUAAUCCAAGCUGGAUUUCAAAAUUCUCAAUCUUCAUGUCCAAACACUGAACCAUGGAGCCUGGAUUUUGAUCUUGAUAAUUAUGGAAGCCGAAGCGAGGGAGAAGGCGAGUUGCGACAGAGGGAAUUGGAAGAGUCCAAGCGUCAUUUGCAUUUUGCAAUUAUUUUCUCAAAAAAUUUAGCAGAUAAAAGAGGAGAUAACAUGGGUUAAUGCUAACUGAAAAAUUAACAUAGUUAAUAUUAGUAAGUGGUGGACACGUGUCGCAUAUUUAGAGGGGCCACAAGAGUGUUUGAGUGCAGAAAAUUUGAACUUCAGAUGAUUAGAAGACCUUUCGUUCCCCGAAAACCGACUAUAUUUUUUAGACCUAUAUUAUCAAGCAAAUGCAAAAACAAUAUGAAAAGAAAACAGUGAUUAUAAUAGGCUUCGUCAAAGACCAUCACGCUAUAAGAAUCCUUCACUUGGCCAAGCACUGGUUGACUUUUGAUCUCUACGUUGUCCUAACAUACAUCGAUCCUUAUAAAAUUCAUGCCAUAGUUUACAUAGUAAACAAUCAAAUAAAAGUCAUGUCACGUCAUCUUUAUUUCUUGACAUUUAACCGAAAGUAUAUCUCCAAAGUAAUUAACUAUAUUUAAACAAGAAAAAAGAAUUACAUGGGUUUAAUGUACCUUGUGACAAGUAGAAGACAUCAAAAGACAACACCAAACAUAGAAUCCAAAUUCCCUGAUAUUAUCAAAGUUUUCAUCUUUCUUUCUUUGUGUUUGUCCCACUAUUAUUGGGGGGAGUUGGUGGUGGGAUUUGGCCCAAAAGAAACGUUUUAGAAACUUUUGCAAAACAAAGAUUGUACGUAAUGAUAUAACAUACUUUCUUUGACAAUCUCGAUUAACUUAUAAACUUGGUAAAUGAAAUUAAGACCAAAUAAGUUCUUGCCAAAACUAACGUGUGCAUCAAAUUCACGUUACUUAUUCACAAGCUAACGUGGACACCAAUUCACAUUACUUUUCUGAAUAUGGAAAGGGACAUGAGAACAAACAGAAGAGAAAAUAACUGGUGAAAGCCACCAAAAAUUAAUGAGAGAAGAAGACGACGACAUGCAACUCCUACUAAACCCUAAUAAAUGGGGGCAGUUGGUUGUUUAGUUUGAAAUGAUUAAAAUCGCAAGUAGUAGAGAUUGCCCCAUUCCUCUAAGAAAAGAUAUAAUAUUUGUUUUUUUUUUGUUAAACGAUAGAUUUUGUUAGAUUAGAUGUUAGAUUAACCACUGACCGGGUUUGAACCCACGUCGUUAUACAAGAACUCAAGACAUUUUCAUUACUGGUGUAAAGGGCCACUUGCGACAUAAUGUUUGUGUGCAGUGGUAACAAUAUAUAUACUACACAUUUUCUAAAGAGUACUUGAUAAGUUUGCAUUAAUUUUAAGUAUUAACAAAUAAAACACGUAAUUCAAUAUUAAUAGAUUAUAAACCUGUAUGAAAGUGGUUUAAAAAUAAUCUAAAGCGUUUUCAGCUCCCAAUAUAAACGUUUUUAAAUGGCAAGAAAGUUCAAAAAAAAUUUGUUUAAAAAAUCACUUAAAUUGUUUUAUUUUAAAAGUAAAAUUUUUAUUAAAUUUUUUAACAUGAUCUAAUUAAAAAGUUUAACACUUUUACGUAAACUGAUCCUAUAAUGGCUAUGGAUCUGCUGUCUCCAACUACGUGUCUUUUUUGUGUUUCCUUUAUAUUUUUAUGACAUGUGUCCUUUAACUUAACCAAAACUUAACACUGUUAAAUUUUAUUAUUUUGUGUUGAAUAAAAAAAUUAGACCAGUUAUAUUAUCUCUUCCCCCAUCUUCUUACCGACGACCAAGGUACCCACCCUUCGCCAUCUUCUCAUCGACGCCCCGGCGUCCCUCCAUCUCCUCCUCUUCCUUCGUCUCCCUUUGCUCCUACAUCCUUCUCAAUUUUAGCCCAAACAAUUGCUCUCUCCAACUAAAAUCAAUGACACCGACUCCAAUUUGAAGGCCUACAUACCUGACUAUAUGAAUCCCUACUGGAUCCAUUACAGAGCGGAACUUACAAUUGUUGACCUUCAUCGCCAGAUUCAAGGUGGUACAGAUUAUGUAAAGCAUGGUGGUAAGAUCCUUGCUACUAGUAUCGUUGCAUCUGGUGGCUAUGCAGAUGAUUUGGAUAAUUCAAAUUCCUUGAUUAUACAGGCCAAGUAGGAAAUGUGAUGAAUACUGAUUUGGAACCUGAAGAUUAAAAGCUUGAACUGGGAAACCUUGCUUUGAAGAAUAAGUCUGGAUGAAAAGAACGGGGAAAAGAUUGGAAGAAAUCAAGAGCCACACGGAAAAACAGUGAAGAAUUCUAGAUUUAUUAACCGAACAGUCGGUCUGAUUAUUUUGGUUUUUUUUUACUUUUAAAUAUUAAAUAAAAAGUUAACAGAGUUAUAUCUAUGUUAAGUUAAAUGACAUGUGUUAAAAUAUUAACAAAGAGACACAAAAUGAGGCACACAAAAUGAGACAGCAGUGAAGCCUCCUAUAAUACCACCUAAUAGAGUUACAGUGACCUUAAAAUUUUAUCAAAUGUCUGUCAUUGAAUUAACUUAAAGUACAAACCAAUGACCAGUCCAAGCUAUACACCUCUUUGUUUUCAAAGUUUUCACGCACUCACACACUCACAUGUAUAUCCUAUCUUAUACCAAAUUCAUGCGGAUUUUUAUUACAAAUGAUCUUGAAAAUUGAUAAACCAAUUCAAGAUGAUCAUUGAAAUUAAAAAUUGAUCAAUAUAAUCAUUAAAUAUGAAUGCCAUAAAUCAACAUCAUCCAUAUUUAAAGACUACACUAAAUUCAAGCACCCAUGUUUAAAAAUUACAUUACUUAAUUUUCGAUUCAAUUAACAACCAUCUUAAUUAGGUGUGUCGAGACAUCUUGCAAUAAAAAACCAACUCAUAUUGUUUCUUAUUCACUCUCAUGCACUUGCAUUAUCUUGAGGGACAAGGAUUGUCUGCCCUUCAUUUCCGGUGCUCUCUCCGUGCCCACCUGUUUGUGUGAUCACGGUUAAGCCACGUCAACAUUUUAUAUUACUAUUUAUUUUUGUCUUAUUAUAUCUAUAAAAAAAAAUAAUAUAAAAUAUUAACAUACGUGACCACACAAAACAGGAGCGUACGGAGAGCGCACCGGAAGUGGAGGGCAAACAAUCCUUGCCCUAUAUUGAGUCCCUACAUGGCCUGCACGUGUCCCUAGCGACAUCAAUGAAAUAAGGUGAGUGAGCCUAGGGCAGUUGAAGUAAUUAAGGUACUAGUCGACAAUGCAGGUGGAGAGUUACUUAUGGACCCAUCAACUUUCAGUACAUGGUACAUUUUCCUCUAUAAAUGUGGAAUCUAUUUGCUCUUGCUAACACAUUCAGUAGCUCUGAGUUUCUUUCUUCAUCCAUUAGCAUUCUGUUCCAAUAUUUUCAGUCUCAAUGGGGUUCUGUCUUCCUCACAUCCUUGCUUUUCUAACUGUAAGCUUUCUAAUUUUGAAAUAUUACUUUUUGAUUUCAGUUGAUUUGUGUUUGCGUCCGUGAUGGUGCUGAUGAGGGUUCAAAUAUUGUUAAUUUGCAGCUCACACUGGUGGCAUGCCAUGCUGCUCUACCACCUCAACUUUACUGGAACUCUGUCUUGCCAAACUCAAAAAUGCCAAAAGCUAUCAGUGAACUUCUCCAGCCUGCAGGUUAGUAUUAGAGUCUCAGAGAAGCUCAGAUAUUGUGUAUUCCUUAGACAAUAAUUCUAUUUAGACAUACACAAUUAAGAUCACUACUGACACACUCUCUAAUACAGGCGAGUCUAACCAUCGUAUAUAUGUAAAAUGUACAUGUAUUAGAGAGUACAUGUCAAGAAAUGCGUUAUAUAUUCUCUAAAAGUGAUAUAAUCCAUUUGUAAUAGCAACAAUUUAGUAUUAUAAAAGUUGAAGGGAUGGAAUAGCUUAAAUGUUCUCAUUGAUCAAAAUUGGAUUGUGGUCUUGGUAUGUAUAUACACUUAUUUUCUUACAUGUAUGUCACUAAAAGCCACAAUAUAAUAAGUCAAUUUCAAAACAAUCGGUCAACUUUUUAUAAACUUUGCUCCUAGUAUAGUUGACUGAAAUUUCUAAAGCCAUGUCGUUCGUUGAUGCGUUCCUGAUACCUUCAAUAAAUUGACUUCACAAUUGUGCAAAUGUGCCGAUAAACUUUAUGACACUUUUAGCUAUACAAUCUUAUGUUGUUAGAAAAUAUAAUUUGACUUCACAAUUAUGAAUGUGCUGAUAAAUUUGACUUCACUUUUAGUUUUAGAUAUAUGACCUCAACGGCGAAUUCCCAUAUUUUCUAUAUAUGAUCCGAAUAUUCUCACAAAUUUUAGCUUAACAAUUUUGAUGUUCUACCUCUUCUCACCUGUUCUCCAUUAUGUUUGCUAAAAUUUGCAGAUUUCACAGAGGAUAAGAGCACCUCUGUUGUAGUAGGAAAGGGUGGUGUCAACGUUGAUGCAGGAAAAGGAAAGCCCGGAGGCACCCAUGUCGAUGUUGGGAAGGGUACUGGAGUGCAUGUGGAAGCCGGAAAAGGAAAGCCAGGCGGUGGCACUAACGUGAACGUAGGAGGCAAAGGCGGUACUGGGGUGAACACCGGGAAGGGAACCAACGUUGGUGUUGGCAAAGGAGGAGUGUCCGUAAACACAGGGCACAAGGGAAAGCCCGUGUAUGUUGGAGUAAAACCAGGACCAGACCCUUUUAACUACCAGUAUGCAGCCACCGAAACCCAACUCCAUCAAGACCCAAACGUUGCUAUUUUCUUCUUGGAGAAAGACAUGCGUCCUGGAACAACAAUGAACUUGCACUUCACCACAAAUUCAAACACGCAAACUUUUGUGCCGCGCGAAACUGCGGAAUCCAUCCCAUUUUCGUCCAACAAGCUGCCAGAAAUCUUCAACCAAUUUUCAGUGAAAUCGGGUUCCGUGGAAGCGGAUAUAAUCAAGGGUACAAUUCAAGAGUGUGAGAAUCCAGCCAUUAGAGGAGAGGAGAAAUAUUGUGCUACCUCUUUGGAGUCCAUGAUUGACUUUAGCACUUCUAAGCUUGGAGGAGGAAAUGUUCGAGCAAUUUCGACAGAAGCCGGAAAAGGAGCUACAUUGCAGAAGUACACAAUAACUUCUGGAGUGAAGAAGUUGGCGGCGGAUAAGUCGGUCGUGUGUCACAAGCAGAACUAUCCCUAUGCUGUCUUUUACUGCCAUGCAACAAAAACAACAAGAGCUUAUGUGGUGCCCCUGAAAGGUG
This 34597-nucleotide long non-coding RNA is filed under the name Malus domestica (apple). Its description in RNAcentral is "long non-coding RNA (MDOM_LNC014502)". Lineage: Eukaryota; Viridiplantae; Streptophyta; Magnoliopsida; Rosales; Rosaceae. The record is from RNAcentral.